Rattus norvegicus (Norway rat) is the source of this 192-nucleotide small nuclear RNA. Ensembl annotates it as U2 spliceosomal RNA. Lineage: Eukaryota; Metazoa; Chordata; Mammalia; Rodentia; Muridae. The record is from Ensembl.
UUGACUUCUUGGCCUUUUGGCUGGGAUCAGGUGGAUUAUCUGUUCUUAUCAAUUUAGAAUGUGAUAUGAUAUGUCCUCUGUCCAAGGACAAAAAUAUUAAAUGGAUUUUUGGAGCAGAAAGAUAGGAUGAAGCAUGUGCAUUCCACUCAUCGGGUCUGCUGGUGCGAUUUCUCCUGAAAUGGUCCACACCCC